UACGGAGGAUGCGAGCGUUAUCCGGAUUUAUUGGGUUUAAAGGGUGCGUAGGCGGUCGGAUAAGUUAGAGGUGAAAUCCCGAGGCUCAACUUCGGAAUUGCCUCUGAUACUGUUCGGCUAGAGAGUAGUUGCGGUAGGCGGAAUGUAUGGUGUAGCGGUGAAAUGCAUAGAUAUCACGCAGAACUCCGAUUGCGAAGGCAGCAUACCGGCGCCCGACUGACGCUGAGGAACGAAAGCCAGGGUAGCAAAUGGG
RNAcentral lists this ribosomal RNA (253 nucleotides) under uncultured Rikenellaceae bacterium. RNAcentral's name for it is "partial 16S ribosomal RNA". It matches the Rfam family "Bacterial small subunit ribosomal RNA", at positions 524 to 776 of the family's 1533-position model. The record is from RNAcentral. Lineage: Bacteria; Pseudomonadati; Bacteroidota; Bacteroidia; Bacteroidales; Rikenellaceae.